GUCCUCCGCCUUAAAAGAGACCGCGUGGAAGCGUCUCGCCCUUUUCCUCGCUGUCGCGGUUGACGUUGGAAGGAGGCUUUCUUCCGCUGCCAUGUGGGAACUGACUUCAAAAAACAGUGGAAAGGACCAGUAUGUAGAGUUGCGGGAGGAACAUGCAAAGGGAGCCAGAAGCUGCCCUCCAAGAUGAGUGAUCGUGAUUGAAAUGCCAACUCUUACCUGGAAAGAUGUUUCUCUAAUCUUCAAAGAUGGAAGUCCAUCCAGAUUUCGUUGAAGAGGCUUGUACACUAUUUGUACUGCUAUGAACGUGGUUAAAAUUAGACACCAGAUUUGCAUUAUUUUAGUUGAGAAGUGAAAGAUUUUAGAAGAAUACACUUCUAAGAUGAUGCAUGGAGAGGUAGGCUUGGACAAACAUUACUACAAUUCAGUGCACUCAAGACUACAGAAUGUGUCCAUUUUUCUCUUGAGACCCUAUGAAGACCUACAUAUUGGGGCAAAAAGUAUUUUCUGAAUUAUUGUGGCAGUAAACUUACAAACUAACUCCUCUUCCCUUUGUUGUACACAAUGAAUGGGUCCAGUUUCAGAGCCCUGCAGUUGGCAGGGCUUAAAAAUUCAUCUUGCACCUCUUACAACAGCAAUCUCAAAGGUAUCCAGGCCCUGGGCCAUCUAGGACUUCAGAGGUAACAUUAUUUUGAAUGUAUCCAUAGACCAACUGAUGGCUGGUACAGCUCCUAAAACAGUAUUAAGGAGUCUUAAACACACUCCAAACCUAUGAAAUACUGGCCUUGCCGAAGGUUCUGGGUGGCUAUAUGGAAAAUGAGUGGUACUACUGAUAAGUUCCAUCUGUUAACAGUUUCUGUUACUUUUCUGCAGGCUUUAAGUUUUUGUUUUACUUAAUCCUGUAGAUAAUCUGUCCUUUAAAAUGCCUGUUGAAGUUAUAUGAAAAAAUAACACCAUUUAAAUUGUGAAAUAAGACUACAGUGCAGCUAAGCCUAAAAAAAAAUGAGCUAAAGAAAUUGCAAAUUUACAGUUUCAUGACACCAGUAUUGUUCUGCUUCUGUCAAUUUUUUACCUAAUGGAAAUCCAUGCAGAUUAUGGCAUCUCUUCUGCCAUUGUUUAUCAAUGUUACUGUGACUUGAGUUGGAGGUUCUCUGAAAUAUUUUGUUUCCUAAAUAUUCCUUUUAUGAUUGCUUAUAUCUAAAGAUAGAAAUGGAGGCGUGAGGAAACUUGGAUAUUGCCACCUGGCACAUGUGGGUUUUUAUUAAGACACGCACAAAAUGUUAAUUUUGUAUAAGCAAAUGCACUUAAGCAAUUGCUUGUCUUGAGAGUGUAAUUAUGCUUCAUAAACAGAUGCACUGAAUAAUGCUUAUUGUCUUAAUUUUUUUCCUGGAAUUGUGAGCUGGGCUACUAGUUUCCUGUAGGUGGGGGCAAAAGUCUUUUGCACUAUUAGACCAACUCCAUAGAAGGAAUUAGUUCCAGUUGCAGAUUUUGAGUUGCUUUACAUCUCAUGUGAGUUUCUAGUUUCCUGAUCAUUGCAGUUAAGGGACAUAAAAAGUAAAAUAAUACUUUUAUUUUAUCUCCCCCCUUUUAAGAAAGCCUCCCUAUGUUUAUAUUCAGGCUAUUCAUUUGACAUUAAAAAAAACCCAAGAAAACUUUAACCAAGCCUCCAUAUUGUGUUCUGGAUUAAUGGGGUUGAAGUGACAGCAUAACUUGAUACUCCAGGAACGAUGAUGCUCAAAAUCUACCUUCCUUGCAUAAUUCAGUGUAAUGACUGCCCAACCCUGCUCAGCAGUUGCACAAGAUUUAGCCUCCCAUUCCUGCAAAUACACCAAGGAGAAACAGCCAUCUUUCAAACAAGUUUUAUUUCUGACAAAGCAUAUAAAAGACUUUGGCUACAUGCAAAGUAGGACAAUAUGGAGAUGCUGAUUUCUAUGAAGUACCAGAUUAACACUACCAAAAACAUACAAAUACUCAAAAUGGGCACAACAGCAGUGAGGUUUUAAGGGAAAAAACACAUUCUGAAAAUUGAUCAUGAUGAGCUGUACCUCCUCCCUAAAGUAGAUUAAUCCUAGCAAUUACAAUCUGAGCCCAGUCUGAAAGGUUCAGCUGCUCUUCAAACCUGCCAGGAUGAAGUGCUUUUGAUUUACCGAAACCAUACUGUUGAAAGCUCACAAGAGAUUGGCGUGAUAGUUAAUUUGGGCAAGAUUCUUCAUGGGUAGCUCAAAAGAAUAAAGCCAGCAUUUACUUCAUGACAGUCAAGUGCUGCAAAGGGUUGGUGACUAAAUAUGUAAUCCAGGUACCUAAGAACAUCAGGAAAAAUUGACACUAUCAAGCUGAAUUGAUUCUAUUGUCUCUUCUACGGCACAGUGAUGAAAUCCAGAGUAACUGAAAGCAGCUACACUUUUUCCACAAAGUGUAAUUAUAGCAACCUGCAACAAAUUUCAUCCCCUGGUGCCUAAAGCCAAGGCCUUGCUAACCCUUUAGUACCAUCAAUUCACACUCUUAAAGCAAGGGAAUGGGGACUUUUUCAUUUAGACUGGUUUGUUUGCUUUAUGAACCAAUGUAAUCUGUCAUCUAUCAAUGAAUAGUAUGUCUUGUAUUCAAAUUAUUUCAUUCUGGAGACAGUUCAGAAGGGGCAAGUUUUUCAGCCCUGCUGACUCACUGCUUUUGACUUAUAAAAAUUACGUCUGAAGACCAGCAAUCUUGUAGCACCUUAAGACCUUACAAAUAAAACUCAUGGAUUACAGCCAAAUUCAUCAGAUUCAUGGCAUAACCUGAGAUAGGUACACAUCCAUGGCUUACUCAGAACAGGAGACAAAUUGGUUGCGAAAGAAUGAAAUGCAGAAGGUACAGUAAUGAUGGUUACCUUCUUGGCAGUGAUUAUUCAGUGAGACAUUCAAACUUGGUGAGUUGAUUAACAUCUUUCUGUUUAAUCCAUGGGAUUAAUUUUGUUUCUAUCCAAGCGUGGACUUUUCCCACCUAAAGCUUCUAUUCAAAGUAAUUCA
Pseudonaja textilis is the source of this 3002-nucleotide long non-coding RNA. RefSeq lists it as uncharacterized. NCBI's taxonomy places the organism in Eukaryota, Metazoa, Chordata, Lepidosauria, Squamata, Elapidae. The record is from RefSeq and is a predicted model, not a curated record.